Molecule: long non-coding RNA, 1259 nt
Organism: Eupeodes corollae
Lineage: Eukaryota; Metazoa; Arthropoda; Insecta; Diptera; Syrphidae
Exons: 4
Source: RefSeq, a predicted model, not a curated record
AAGUCAAAUUGCAGUGAAGGAGGUGCAACAAUAAUGGAUUUAUUUUAUAUUCUUUCUUUUCAUUUUAGAUAGUGCCAAAAUGCAGGAAGCAAUUUCCUUUAAGUAAUUUGGAAAGCAAACCAAACAAGGCGCUGAUUUGCAGGUAAGUUUUUUGUAUAUUAUAUUUCUCUCAACAAAAUAAUAUCAAUGUUUUUAACUACAGAUACUGCCCAUUGUUUUUAUAUGUACUUCUCAACUGCAAUAGCUGCCGCAGGUGUUGACGGCGGAGGUGUCACCAUCAAAACCAUUAGAAACAACACGACCAAGUCAAUGAUGCAAGUGGAAGUUUUGCCAUGUAAUAGUCGACCGCUGACGCCCUUCUCCAUCAAUUGUGUAAGUGUAAAGAGUACUACCAGUCUGCAGUUCUGCAAGAGACGCAAACAAAACAAGAAUACAAUCGCAGGAAGACUCCAAAAAAUGUCCAACCCUGACUGUAAGUGAGUUCAAAUUUUAAAUCUACAACGAAUCCAUUCUUUUUGCUCCUAAGGAUCGCACUGGCUUAACGGUGUCAAUCAUUCGGAGGCAAAUGAGCUGGCCCGACAAGAAUCCCCCAAGAAGCCAAACAGAUUCAGAUCAGUCUCUCGGCAGCUACUGACAAUGUCGGCGAAUUAAAUCCAUCGAUUUUCACACAGAAAAUUAACAUCAAAAAAAUCACGACAAUUCAGCAGCGUCAUGGUCAACCUGCCGAUCAACCAUUCACAGUGAACAACCUCUAUUCGUAGCAGAAGCGAUCUCUGCGUUGUCGACAAUGCGAACACAAUGUCAUCAAGCCGGAGUACCAUCCAGGAUCGAUCAAGUAUCGCAUUCAAUUGUUUGCUAACUACCAUGUGCCAGACGUUCUGCUUGUGCGUUGUGAAAAGCCACUGAAGCCUGGCACGUCCACUGAAUUGAUCCUCAAGCUAACUAACCCAACGAUGUACCAUAUGACCACAACCAUUAUGAAACUGCUAACCAAGGAAGAAGAACGGCGAAUGAUCGACUUCGAAUAAAAGUUCAACGAAAGGAACCAAAAUUCACCACUUGGAGAAAGUCCAAUAACGUAACAAUUAAAUUGAACUUCACACCUGAAGAAGGAUUGAAACCAGGCGAUGAUGUUACCCUUAGUUUCUUGAUGAAAUAUACUUUUGUGAAUACAUACACACGCCCGAAAAGAAAGAACGUCAAAAACACGCAUUAUCAUCGAAAGUUUUUGUAAAAGUUGGUCAAAUUGAAGCCUAGAU